ACAACAAAGGGAAUGGAAGGUCUGAUGCAUCCUACUACUCCCUUUCUGCCUCCACAGAAUGACAGUCCGCAUGAGGAGACUUUUGUGAGGAUUCCCUGUGGCAGAAGGCAGUGAAGACACCCACUGUUCUAGAAAAAUUACUCUCUACAUACACAGGACAGAAAGCAAAACCAAACCUGAGAGCACUUGAAGUUAGUUUGGGGACAUCCUUUCAGAAGGAAGGAGUGGAUCCAUCUGAAUUUGAUUUUGUACUUUUGAGAGCACAAAGCAGCCUUCUUCUUGUCCGUUUUCUUCUCUCCAUAACAGUAUAUUUUGGAUCUAAAGAUAGAUUUUAAAACAAGAAUUGAGAGACUCCAACUGCAUUUCAACCGAUCAAUUCUAAACUCAAACUUUUGAGAUUAUGAGAAUAAGUGGAAGGAUAAGUCCAAGGAUAAGAUGGAGCUGCAGCAGCCAUUUUGUAAACUUGCAGGAAAUAACUCACUAAGGAUGACAGAGCAGAAAGAAGAAGCCUUGGUCUUAGUUGACUGCACAGAGCUACUAAACUAAUGGUCAACCGCU
Molecule: long non-coding RNA, 558 nt
Organism: Canis lupus familiaris (dog)
Lineage: Eukaryota; Metazoa; Chordata; Mammalia; Carnivora; Canidae
Exons: 4
Source: RefSeq, a predicted model, not a curated record